RNAcentral lists this long non-coding RNA (873 nucleotides) under Marmota monax (woodchuck). Lineage: Eukaryota; Metazoa; Chordata; Mammalia; Rodentia; Sciuridae. The record is from RNAcentral.
AUAUACUUCAUGUGGUCACUGAAACAACUAUAAUAAAUAAAUAUCUUCAAACUUUUAAGAAUGAAGGGGAAAUCAUCAUAAUGACCAAAAGAAAAAUGGAAAAAAAUACACAUAGAUCAAUUGUUACAUAUGUGUUCAGAUAAAUGUAUCGACCAUUAAUCUGGUUAUGAAUGUAUAGUCCCUACAUAUAAUCCUGCCUAUCUCUCAAAGGUCUCACUUCCACAUGCUAUUAGUACAAGUAGGGAUAAAGUUUCCAACACAAACUUUAAGGGACAAAUUUCAAACCGUAGCAAUACCUGAAGAUACAAGUAGAAAUUCUUGUAUCUUUCAAUAAUAAAAAGUGAUUGAAGAGUGUUUGAACUGCUAAUACCUUGAGUGUGUGCUAAUACCUCUGAUGAAUGUUUGAGCACCUCUCCUCACCAUCGUUGAACACAUGUGCCUAGAGAGUUCAGCUGGAUUUGUGAGGUCUGGAGUAUUUGUAGCCAGGUGUUCAUGACUAAUCCCAGCAACUCAGGAGGCUGAAGCAGGGACAUCUCAAAUUCAAGGCCAGCCUCAAAAACCUAGUGAGGCCCUAAGCAACUUAGUGAGAUUCUGUCUCAAAAUAAAAAAAAUAAAAAGGGCUUGGGGUAUAGUUCAGUGGUAAAGUGUUGCCAGGUGCAAGUCCCAGUAUCCAAAACAAAGUAAAACAAAAAAAGAAAGUAUAGAUUAGCCACAUGAAACAUGCACUUGAAAUGUGGAUAGUGCAAUAGAGGAACUGAAUUUCAAUUGCAUGCAAUUUUAGUUAAUUAAAAAAUUGAUACUGAAGUCAUUUAUCAGAAACUUUAUGUUUGAGGAACUUGGGUAUUUGAAUCUACUUUUUCAACUCAAAAAUUU